Molecule: ribosomal RNA, 474 nt
Filed under: uncultured bacterium
Lineage: Bacteria
Description: bacterial SSU rRNA
Rfam family: Bacterial small subunit ribosomal RNA
Source: RNAcentral
ACUCCUACGGGAGGCAGCAGUGGGGAAUAUUGCACAAUGGGCGCAAGCCUGAUGCAGCCAUGCCGCGUGUAUGAAGAAGGCCUUCGGGUUGUAAAGUACUUUCAGCAGUGAGGAAGGUGGAUAUGUUAAUAGCAUAUUCAUUGAUCGUUAGCUGCAGAAGAAGCACCGGCUAACUCCGUGCCAGCAGCCGCGGUAAUACGGAGGGUGCGAGCGUUAAUCGGAAUUACUGGGCGUAAAGCGCAUGCAGGUGGUUUGUUAAGUCAGAUGUGAAAGCCCGGGGCUCAACCUCGGAAUUGCAUUUGAAACUGGCAAACUAGAGUACUGUAGAGGGGGGUAGAAUUUCAGGUGUAGCGGUGAAAUGCGUAGAGAUCUGAAGGAAUACCGGUGGCGAAGGCGGCCCCCUGGACAGAUACUGACACUCAGAUGCGAAAGCGUGGGGAGCAAACAGGAUUAGAUACCCUGGUAGCUACGAGU